Dioscorea cayenensis subsp. rotundata (Guinea yam) is the source of this 105-nucleotide small nucleolar RNA. Lineage: Eukaryota; Viridiplantae; Streptophyta; Magnoliopsida; Dioscoreales; Dioscoreaceae. The record is from RefSeq and is a predicted model, not a curated record.
AAGCCAUCAUGGGGCAUCUUCGAAGGGGUUCUUUGAAUCUCUCAUAUGCUUCAAAUAAUGUUCUGACUCUCUUUGCUUAAACACUGACAUUUCAUGCCUUAGCUU